This is a non-coding RNA of Paramuricea clavata, 119 nucleotides long. The record is from the annotation of a GenBank genome assembly. Lineage: Eukaryota; Metazoa; Cnidaria; Anthozoa; Malacalcyonacea; Plexauridae.
GUCUACGACCAUACCACCCGGAAAACAUCGGUUCUCGUCUGAUCAUCGAAGUUAAGCCUGGUCGGGCGAAGUUAGUACUUGGAUGGGUGACCGCCUGGGAAUACUUCGUGUUGUAGACU